This 351-nucleotide transfer-messenger RNA is filed under the name Peptostreptococcaceae bacterium. It matches the Rfam family "transfer-messenger RNA". Rfam says of the family: Bacterial tmRNA, also known as 10Sa RNA or SsrA, is named for its dual tRNA and mRNA-like properties. Its role is to liberate the mRNA from a stalled ribosome. The record is from RNAcentral. Lineage: Bacteria; Bacillati; Bacillota; Clostridia; Peptostreptococcales; Peptostreptococcaceae.
GGGAAUGUACUGGUUUCGACGGGGUUUUGAAGUAUAGAUAAGCGGGUCGUGCAAUGUUGUAAAUCACGCUAAACUUAACAACAUCUAAAUAUAAACGCAGAUAAUAAUCUUGCACUAGCUGCUUAAUGCGGCUCGUUCCUCCUAGUCCUCCUGCCGAUUAGGACUGAACGUCAACUAUGCAGGGCACUGUGAUUGGGAUUUCUGGACCAUGACUCAGUACAACUCAGAAUAUAUUUUAGUAAAAGCAGUUGGGAGCUUUUUCUAAAACGAAUAAAUCUAUUCCAACUACACUCGUAGAAAGUUUAUAUGGAUAGGUUUCGGACAGGGGUUCGACUCCCCUCAUUUCCACCA